GAAAAGCCUCAUACAGAGUUACCGCCAGGGAUUUGCUGUUGAACAAACAAAAGAUCCACCGUAGAGGAAACUCUACUGGGGAGCUCAACACGGAUAAGAUCCGUCGUAGAAGAAACUCUACUAGAGAACUUAACAAGGGAUGAUAUGAAACUCCGUGGGGAACAACAGCCAAGCAGAAGUUUCAACAAUCAAAAUAACUUCUUCUUAUCUGCUAGAGGGACAUCUCUGCUAAGGGGAGAGAG
Molecule: long non-coding RNA, 242 nt
Filed under: Lathyrus oleraceus (garden pea)
Lineage: Eukaryota; Viridiplantae; Streptophyta; Magnoliopsida; Fabales; Fabaceae
Description: Pisum sativum (pea) long non-coding RNA (PSAT_LNC033760)
Source: RNAcentral